RNAcentral lists this ribosomal RNA (253 nucleotides) under uncultured bacterium. RNAcentral describes it as "partial 16S ribosomal RNA". It matches the Rfam family "Bacterial small subunit ribosomal RNA", at positions 524 to 776 of the family's 1533-position model. The record is from RNAcentral.
UACGAAGGGGGCUAGCGUUGUUCGGAAUUACUGGGCGUAAAGGGCGCGUAGGCGGUGUGUCAAGUCAGGCGUGAAAGCCCUGGGCUCAACCUGGGAAGUGCAUUGGAUACUGGCAAACUUGAGUACGGGAGAGGAUAGUGGAAUUUCGAGUGUAGGGGUGAAAUCCGUAGAUAUUCGAAGGAACACCGGUGGCGAAGGCGGCUAUCUGGACCGAUACUGACGCUGAGACGCGAAAGCGUGGGGAGCAAACAGG